Alligator mississippiensis (American alligator) is the source of this 300-nucleotide long non-coding RNA. RefSeq lists it as uncharacterized. The transcript is spliced from 3 exons. Lineage: Eukaryota; Metazoa; Chordata; Crocodylia; Alligatoridae. The record is from RefSeq and is a predicted model, not a curated record.
GUUGCCAUCUUGACUGGUGCUAGGAGAAAUGCCACAGUAGUCUGUCAUGAUACUGUUUCCCUGCUGGCUCUUUCUAGACAGGACUUCUUAAAUAUAUUUCUGAGCCGGGAAUCUACUGAGGGGCCAGAUUUUAUAGAUUUCCUGCACAAGACUGAACUUCUUUCAGGAUGGCCAAUUGAAAAGUUGCCUUACAACAACCCCAGAAUUUGUGCUCAGACCUUUUUCAGACCAGGCACAGUCAUUACAAAGGAUUCAAAGUCAUCAUCCAAAAUUUAUGUGAUCAAAACUGUAAGUAAAUCC